GGGCAGUCGGUGCGGGGGGGCGCGGUAAGACGGAGGGGGUGAGUGUGGUUCGGGAUGACUGGGCGUAAAGGGCGCGUAGGCGGCCGUGUAGGGCGGGUGGGAAAGCCCGGGGCUCAACCCCGGAACGGCAACCGAGACUGCGGGGCUCGAGACCGGGAGAGGAGGGUGGAAUACCCAGUGUAGAGGUGAAAUUCGUAGAUAUUGGGUGGAACACCGGUGGCGAAAGCGGCUCUCUGGCCCGGUUCUGACGCUGAGGCGCGAAAGCGUGGGGAGCAAACAGGAUUAGAUACCCCAGUAGUC
RNAcentral lists this ribosomal RNA (300 nucleotides) under uncultured Desulfurococcus sp. RNAcentral's name for it is "bacterial SSU rRNA". It matches the Rfam family "Bacterial small subunit ribosomal RNA", at positions 496 to 795 of the family's 1533-position model. Lineage: Archaea; Thermoproteati; Thermoproteota; Thermoprotei; Desulfurococcales; Desulfurococcaceae. The record is from RNAcentral.